AUGUCAGAUUAGGUAGUUGGUGGGGUAAAGGCUCACCAAGCCGACGAUCUGUAGCUGGUCUGAGAGGACGACCAGCCACACUGGGACUGAGACACGGAGUUUGAUCCUGGCUCAGAUUGAACGCUGGCGGCAUGCCUUACACAUGCAAGUCGAACGGUAACAGGUUUUUCGGAUGCUGACGAGUGGCGAACGGGUGAGUAAUACAUCGGAAACGUGCCCGAUCGUGGGGGAUAACGCAGCGAAAGCUGUGCUAAUACCGCAUACGAUCUACGGAUGAAAGCGGGGGAUCGCAAGACCUCGCGCGGACGGAGCGGCCGAUGGCAGAUUAGGUAGUUGGUGGGAUAAAAGCUUACCAAGCCGACGAUCUGUAGCUGGUCUGAGAGGACGACCAGCCACACUGGGACUGAGACACGGCCCAGACUCCUACGGGAGGCAGCAGUGGGGAAUUUUGGACAAUGGGCGAAAGCCUGAUCCAGCCAUGCCCCGUGCAGGAUGAAGGCCUUCGGGUUGUAAACUGCUUUUGUACGGAACGAAAAGACUCUGGUUAAUACCUGGGGUCCCAUGACGGUACCGUAAGAAUAAGCACCGGCUAACUACUUGCCAGCAGCC
This 609-nucleotide ribosomal RNA is filed under the name uncultured Spirillum sp. RNAcentral describes it as "bacterial SSU rRNA". The stretch from base 89 to 609 matches the Rfam family "Bacterial small subunit ribosomal RNA", at positions 1 to 516 of the family's 1533-position model. Lineage: Bacteria; Pseudomonadati; Pseudomonadota; Betaproteobacteria; Nitrosomonadales; Spirillaceae. The record is from RNAcentral.